Vigna angularis (adzuki bean) is the source of this 1039-nucleotide RNA transcript. RefSeq lists it as uncharacterized. The transcript has 4 exons. The record is from RefSeq and is a predicted model, not a curated record. NCBI's taxonomy places the organism in Eukaryota, Viridiplantae, Streptophyta, Magnoliopsida, Fabales, Fabaceae.
UUCAGUUCCCUCCAACAUUUUACACUCACCAAAUCUUCUCCCAAAUCAAAACCCUACAACUUCCUCCCAAAUAAAAUCAUAAACACCAGUUCGUGUUACAAAGUUCUGCAUCCAGAACCUCUUUUUCCUCCCUCUCUACUGUCGCGCCUCCACAAUGAGAGGAGUUUUUUCUUCCAGUUUUCACUCUUCACCUCCACUCUCUUUCUCUUUCCGGUGAUGAAUCCGAGAACGAUUGUUUCAGGUCUACACGCAGCCGCACUAAAUUCAAACGCUCUGCGAUGGAGGAAGCCCAUGAAAUCCCACGCGCCAAGGACGCGAAGGAGAGAUGAGGAGGAAGCCCUUGGUGUGGAGCGCCUCCCCGAGGUUCUCGAAGCUUCUAGGAGGAGCCUCAAUUCUGCCUAAGUCACUUUUCUCGUCAAAUGAUGCCUCAAUCUCUUGAAGGAUAACAGCUUCAAGGUCUCGCAGGGCACGCUUCAGGCGCUCGACUCCGCCGCCGUUCGAGCUGGCGACCACUUCAAGCUCCAAUUGAAUGUGUUCGCUUCCAUUGUCGUCGAAAGGCUAGGCAACGCUAAACAGCCCAUCAGUGACGCCACUAGGCGCCUCUUGCUUACUCUCAUAGAGGAAAUGAAGCCGCUUGCAAAUGAGCAAAUAAAGGUUCUCCUGAAGGUUCAGUGCUAGAAGGAGAAGGAUAAACAUAAUGGGAAGAGAGACAACAUGGAGGGAUCACAUAAGAAACUUAUAUUUGAUGAAGCUAACUAAUGAGUCAUUGCCUUGUCCCACGUCACCUUACAACUAUAGCUAUGGAGUGGUGCUGUUGGAAUUGCUCAUGGGAAGACGAGUUUCAAAUAAGUUGAAUAUGAAGCAAGAUGAUGUUUUCUAGUGGCUUUGUUCCAUGGGUUUUUACUUGGUCUAGUUGUUUUCUAUCGUGUUAGACUUUUAGUCAAUUUUGAAUAUUCCUUAAACAUUAUGUAUCUUUUACAUUGUAAUUGUCAAUUGAUGUACUUUAUCUUAAAUUAUCAAUAAAAUUAUUUUUUAUUAA